Molecule: ribosomal RNA, 253 nt
Filed under: uncultured prokaryote
Description: partial 16S ribosomal RNA
Rfam family: Bacterial small subunit ribosomal RNA
Source: RNAcentral
UACGUAGGGUGCAAGCAUUAAUCGGAUUUAUUGGGCGUAAAGGGCGCGUAGGCGGGAACGUAAGUCAGAUGUGAAAUCCCGGGGCUCAACCCCGGAAUAGCAUUUGAAACUGUGUUUCUAGAGGGUAGGCGGAGAAAACAGAAUUCCACAAGUAGCGGUGAAAUGCGUAGAUAUGUGGAAGAAUACCUGUGGCGAAGGCGGUUUUCUAGCUUAUACCUGACGCUGAGGCGCGAAAGCAAGGGGAUCAAACAGG